This 77-nucleotide transfer RNA is filed under the name Candidatus Opitulatrix cubana. RNAcentral's name for it is "tRNA-Arg". It matches the Rfam family "tRNA". Rfam says of the family: Transfer RNA (tRNA) molecules are approximately 80 nucleotides in length. Their secondary structure includes four short double-helical elements and three loops (D, anti-codon, and T loops). Further hydrogen bonds mediate the characteristic L-shaped molecular structure. tRNAs have two regions of fundamental functional importance: the anti-codon, which is responsible for specific mRNA codon recognition, and the 3' end, to which the tRNAs corresponding amino acid is attached (by aminoacyl-tRNA synthetases). tRNAs cope with the degeneracy of the genetic code in two manners: having more than one tRNA (with a specific anti-codon) for a particular amino acid; and 'wobble' base-pairing, i.e. permitting non-standard base-pairing at the 3rd anti-codon position. Lineage: Bacteria; Bacillati; Actinomycetota; Actinomycetes; Bifidobacteriales; Bifidobacteriaceae. The record is from RNAcentral.
GCCCACAUAGCUCAGCAGGAUAGAGCAUCCCCCUCCUAAGGGGAAGGUCGCAUGUUCGAAUCAUGUUGUGGGCACCA